GGAAUUAUUUUUUGUUCAGUUGCACAGGUUUUAUUGCCUUUUUUAAUUGGAACUAAUCUUCUUUUUUUUUUUUUUGAACUGCUAAUUUUUCUGAUCCCUUUCCUUUAUGCAUAUUUUGCAGGAUGGCAACUGCCAGCUCCCUGAAUUUAUUCUGCUUGGCUUUCUUGAAGGCUUUUGUUCUGUGUAUCUACUUCUUAUGAAUGCACCAGAGAGGUGCAUGAAUAAAUGAAUGUAAGCAUAUGCCUGAGAUUGCCAUCUGACUUUCUUUAUGGACAGUAGUAAAUACCAAUUUGCCACUAGUAGCAAGUAAUAGUACUAAACAGUGAUUUUUUUUAAGAGAGUCAUCACGUCCUCCUAAAUGGAUACCUGAGUGAAUGAACCAUGUCCUUAAUGUGCCCAUUUCUCGCCACUGAGUAUGAGGAGAAUCUCAGGAUGCUGGUUCAGAUAUAGACAUCUACAUAUCAAAUCUCUAAAUAUGGGUGACCUGACCCCAUCUUCUGCCAUCUGCUGCAGUCCUAUAGCAAGAGAUGCCUGGGAAAAGUGUCCCUUUACACCAGCUCUGUGCUUCACAUGCUUCUGCUAGCUGCAAAGAGAGGAAGAGCUUCAUCCAUCCAGUGCCAGGUUCUCUGAGCCGACACAAGCCGUGUGCAGGGGAAGUGAGAGCCAAAAGCCAUUACAACAUCGAUCCCAAGACUAUUGUCAGUGUUGGAAUGUGUCCCGGGUGAAUGUGAUUUUUCCUUAGCACAAAGAAUCACGUCUUGGGAACACAACCAAAUGCUGUCAGAGUGUAACACAAUAGACUUUUCUGGUGAAAAUGUAAUUAAAUGCUAUUCAAAUCUCUUAAAAGAAAGCAAAGAAACAAAAGGUUCAAGUUUAAGACUAUGCACCUUUCUUUCACUACCUCUCUCAAGGGAAGUGAAUCCAUCAGAAGUAUGGUUCCAGAUGCCAAAAGUAAUAUAAAUGCAGACUUUCAGGUCUAGCCAAAUUGUGGUUAAAGUUAUUUCUCUGUGGAUCACACUCACUCAUUAAUUUUAACACUGGACAUUUUCCAAACUGUGUGGUUGCUUUGCAACAGGGGGCAAGACCCCAGUGAUUAGAUGCCUUACAUUUCACUAUUUUUCCUAAUUUACCCACUUGAAUAAAAAUUGGGAUUUCAGAACUCUAUUGCUUUCU
Molecule: long non-coding RNA, 1173 nt
Filed under: Apteryx rowi (Okarito brown kiwi)
Lineage: Eukaryota; Metazoa; Chordata; Aves; Apterygiformes; Apterygidae
Description: lncRNA (ENSARWG00000003202.1)
Source: RNAcentral